UACUUAGCAGGUGUGCAUGAGAGGAAAAAUUUUAGACUGCAACGGAUAUAUUAGUGACGUAGCGUAACAAAUCAAUCAAAUUAAUUAUUUUAAAAAUAUAUGUCCCAUCAUGAUUGUAAAAAAAUAUUUUUAUUGUACUUUUGUUUGAAAAGAAUGAAUAUGAUUGGCUUGUUAUUAAUGAUGUGGUGCAAGUGUGACAGUGUAGAAUUCCUCGCACGAGAGAAUUAUCUUGGAUGCGUUUUGGAUACG
RNAcentral lists this long non-coding RNA (249 nucleotides) under Ananas comosus (pineapple). RNAcentral describes it as "long non-coding RNA (ACOM_LNC014151)". Lineage: Eukaryota; Viridiplantae; Streptophyta; Magnoliopsida; Poales; Bromeliaceae. The record is from RNAcentral.